GUCAAACCCCAAAAUCCAUCGAUUCCCUUUCAUCACCCGCCGCAAGUGUUCGGAACCCUAAAAUCUAAUCCCGUCGCUAUAAAUUACUGGGCUCCGCCGCCGUCGUUGAUUCAUGGUGCGAUGGCCGUCAGGGAUUUCGACCUCUCUUCCCGAGAUUUGCUGGCUGAUGAUGAGUGAUCAUUAAGAUCUUAGCGGAUUUCAGUGAGGCUUUCUGGUCUAUGAUCUUUCCACUGUUGUUACACACACUGAAGCCUACUCUAUUUCACAGCAAAAUGAUAGUUUUCUACCCUGUUGGGGUUAAGAUCAUUUUUGGUGCAAUGCUUAAUCUGCUCUUUCUGAUUUAUGGAUUUUUUCUAUCUGUUUUAUGGUGCAUUUGGCAUAGGAGGUAUCGGUUGUCGCCAUGAUGAGUUUAGGAGUUGGUGUGGGCAGUGGUGAUAGCAUAUUGUUGUUAUCCCCGUGAGCCUCUCUCACAUUAAUAUGACUUCUCCUUUCGCUGAGCUCACAAUUUUUUUCCUUCCAUGAAGUGUUGAAUGAUUUUUUUUUUCACACAAAAAGUCUUUUUUCAAUAAUAUUAUUUAUUUUUAUUACACUAUUAUCAAUCUCGACCUUCAAUUUUAUUUAAUUAACCAAUGCAUUGUUGUUUUUGGUUUCAUUCAACAUGUAUGUAAUUAUGUUAACAAUGCAACUAAUUCUUCAACAUAUGGUUUGAUGUUAUCUUGUUGACAUUCUUAUUUUUCACUCUAAUGUGUUUUGCUCGGUAGAAACCUUUAUUCCCUAAUUGAGACUUGAGACAUUGAUUUUCACUUGUCAUCCUUGCACUCACGAAAGUAUGUUUCAUUGCAGUUUGAUUAAUAUCAAAAACUAUCUGUUUAGAUAAAUUUAUUAAUUAGGCCUUAGUAUUAUUUUUUGAUUGAACCUAUGCAUGUUUUUUAGGUCACAUUAUGAUCCUAUGAUAACAGUGGCAUAUUUUGAAAUAGUCAUUUGGGUGCUUUUUAAUUGUGGGAGAUGCUGUAUCUUAUAUUAGAUUUUUACCACUAUACGUUUAUUGGACUUGUAAAUGUAAGUUGUGCAUUUAGAUCAGAGAACAUCUAAUAUUAUGUUUGAAGGAAAUCGAACAUAAAUUUUCUUGUAUGUGCUAAUUUUCAUGAGUAAAAUACAAUUAGUUGAUUGAAAGUUAAACUUUGACUGAGGCACCAGUACUGAGGCUCCUCGCAAAAUCAAUUGUUUGGCUACUUACUUUUUUUGUGCAAGAAUAAUUAUGGGAUGAACAUUGCAGCACAAAUAGAUUGAUGUUUGUGCUGUCCUUUAUCUCCCAACACUGAAUAUUAUAUCAUUGUUGUUCCAUCUUCUGAUUUAUGUUUGUUGGUUACUAGUUGUUGCUGUUAUUGUACAUUUACAUUAGUUAAGUUAUAGGUGACAGGUAGCCAAUAUGAAAACUAAAUCAUAAACUUGAUAAAUGAUAUGCACCAGUAGCUAAAAGAAGUAUUUAUUAUAACUUGAUUUGGUGCACGAGUACUGACGCUCUGUUUAAUAUUAGUAUCCAGAUGCCUAACCUCUGUGCAAGAAUAGAUUAGGGUAUGCGCUUUGCAGCACAAAUGAACAUGUGUUUAUGCUGCCUGUAUUUACCCAACACUGUUACAUAUUAAUACAUUCAGAUAUCAAUUUCACAAGUAAUUUUUGGUAAUAUGAGCAAGAUAUUUAUCUCUCUUUUUUGGCUUACAUAAUCAUUUACAUAAAAAAAAGAUUUAUACAUUAGACGAGUGAAUUUUGUUGAUUCUCAUACAUUAUGGCUCUCAAUAUGGUUAACGGUCAAUCUUAUACCAACCCUUUAAUUUGCUUGCUUUCCUGUCUUUCAUUGAUUCUUUCUCUUCCAGAAUUAUUUAUAAACAGUUGAUAAAACACCUUUUGAAUAACUGGAUGCAAGAUAUGCAGAUAUGUGCUUAUAGUUCAGACGGAGGGUCAAUCUUAUACCAACCCUUUAAUUUGCUUGCUUUCCUGUCUUUCAUUGAUUCUUUCUCUUCCAAAAUUAUUUAUAAACAGUUGAUAAAACACCUUUUGAAUAACUGGAUGCAAGAUAUGCAGAUAUGUGCUUAUAGUUCAGACGGAGGCGCAAAACAACAUGAAUCAUUUUGAGAGAAAGGAACUGUUUUAUCUAAUCAUUCUUUUCUUAGAUUGCUUCAGCUAUUUAUUUAUUUUUUCUUAGAAGGAUGCAAAAUAUGUACACAAAACUGUUUUAUCUAUUCAUUUUGAUUGAAGCAUUUCAGCUAAUUAUGAUAGGUGAUGGGAGUAGUUAUUUAGAUACAGCACUGAUACUUCCUAGCAAGAUCCAUUGUUCUGCCACCUUACAUUUCUGUGCAAGACUGAAUCAGAGUAACUCUCCCUUUGCAGCAUAAACUAAUUUCUGCUUAUGCUGCAGGUAGUCACUUGAAUACUACUACAGAUCACUACUUACUGAUUUAAUACCCACUCUCACAAUUAUUCUGCAGAACAUGUUAUGAGUUCUAUGUUUCAUGUGUUCUCUUGUUUGAUUGAAAUAGUUACCUUGAAUUAAACUCAUGCAUAGUUAAGGCCCCCUGCAAGAUGUGUUCUGGACUUGUGGUUUGCCUAAUUUUUUUUUGUGUGGGCAAACAAAUUGAUGUCUGUGCAGUGAACUAUUUUUAAUUUAUUUUAAGCAGUGUUUGUCAUUAAUAUUUUUGUUUUUUUAUAAAUAUUUUGAGUUUAAUCUAUCUUGAUCCUUAUUUUUUCCUCCAGAGUUCAAGAUUUCAUAUUUGCUCUCCUUCAAGCUAAGCUUAUGAUUUUUGGGUUUUCCAAAUUGAGCUCCUUUUGUUAUCAUAAAGCAAAUGCACUCUCUGCCAAAACCUCAACUUGAGCCAUGUUUUGUGGCAAUUUCUUCGCUUGCAAGAAGAACCCAAAGUUGGUGUUUCCGACCUAACUCUUCCGUUGCCGGAUGUUGGUGAAUGUCUUGUGGCGGUGGUCUGAAUUUCAUAUUGAUUGAAUCCAUGUUAAGUAUGAGAUGAUAUAAAAUUUCUGCCCCUUGAAUUAAGAUACAUGUUAAGAUUGAUUAAAUGAUUAUUUUCAAAAUUCACUUUUAUUUCUCCC
Zingiber officinale is the source of this 3099-nucleotide long non-coding RNA. RefSeq lists it as uncharacterized. NCBI's taxonomy places the organism in Eukaryota, Viridiplantae, Streptophyta, Magnoliopsida, Zingiberales, Zingiberaceae. The transcript is spliced from 2 exons. The record is from RefSeq and is a predicted model, not a curated record.